CCAGGCCUACGGGGCGCAGCAGUGGGGAAUAUUGCACAAUGGGGGGAACCCUGAUGCAGCGACGCCGCGUGGGUGAAGGAGCACCUCGGUGCGUAAAGCCCUAUCGGCAGGGAAGAAACAGACGGUACCUGACUAAGAAGCCCCGGCUAACUACGUGCCAGCAGCCGCGGUAAUACGUAGGGGGCAAGCGUUAUCCGGAUUCACUGGGGGUAAAGGGAGCGUAGACGGCGACGCAAGUCUGGAGUGAAAGCCCGGGGCCCAACCCCGGGACUGCUCCGGAAACGGCGGCGC
This 291-nucleotide ribosomal RNA is filed under the name uncultured bacterium. Its description in RNAcentral is "partial 16S ribosomal RNA". It matches the Rfam family "Bacterial small subunit ribosomal RNA", at positions 333 to 641 of the family's 1533-position model. The record is from RNAcentral.